UACGUAGGGUGCAAGCGUUUAAUCGGAAUUACUGGGCGUAAAGCGUGCGCAGGCGGUUUUGUAAGUCAGAUGUGAAAUCCCCGGGCUUAACCUGGGAACUGCGUUUGAAACUACAAGGCUAGAGUGUGACAGAGGGGGGUGGAAUUCCACGUGUAGCAGUGAAAUGCGUAGAGAUGUGGAGGAACACCGAUGGCGAAGGCAGCCCCCUGGGUUA
RNAcentral lists this ribosomal RNA (214 nucleotides) under uncultured bacterium. Its description in RNAcentral is "partial 16S ribosomal RNA". It matches the Rfam family "Bacterial small subunit ribosomal RNA", at positions 524 to 736 of the family's 1533-position model. The record is from RNAcentral.